GAUGGACGCUGGCGGCGUGCCUAAUACAUGCAAGUCGAGCGAACAGACGAGGAGCUUGCUCCUCUGACGUUAGCGGCGGACGGGUGAGUAACACGUGGAUAACCUACCUAUAAGACUGGGAUAACUUCGGGAAACCGGAGCUAAUACCGGAUAAUAUAUUGAACCGCAUGGUUCAAUAGUGAAAGACGGUUUUGCUGUCACUUAUAGAUGGAUCCGCGCCGCAUUAGCUAGUUGGUAAGGUAACGGCUUACCAAGGCAACGAUGCGUAGCCGACCUGAGAGGGUGAUCGGCCACACUGGAACUGAGACACGGUCCAGACUCCUACGGGAGGCAGCAGUAGGGAAUCUUCCGCAAUGGGUGAAAGCUUGACGGAGCAACGCCGCGUGAGUGAUGAAGGUCUUCGGAUCGUAAAACUCUGUUAUUAGGGAAGAACAAAUGUGUAAGUAACUAUGCACGUCUUGACGGUACCUAAUCAGAAAGCCACGGCUAACUACGUG
This 497-nucleotide ribosomal RNA is filed under the name uncultured bacterium. RNAcentral describes it as "partial 16S ribosomal RNA". It matches the Rfam family "Bacterial small subunit ribosomal RNA", at positions 28 to 507 of the family's 1533-position model. The record is from RNAcentral.